GUCUGCCUACGGGGGGCAGCAGUGAGGAAUAUUGGUCAAUGGGCGGGAGCCUGAACCAGCCAAGCCGCGUGAAGGAAGAAGGCGCCAAGCGUCGUAAACUUCUUUUGUCGGGGAACAAAGGGCGCCACGUGUGGCGUUGUGAGUGUACCCGAAGAAAAAGCAUCGGCUAACUCCGUGCCAGCAGCCGCGGUAAUACGGAGGAUGCGAGCGUUAUCCGGAUUUAUUGGGUUUAAAGGGAGCGUAGGCCGCAUGUCAAGCGUGCUGUGAAAUGUCCGGGCUCAACCCGGGCCUUGCAGCGCGAACUG
This 305-nucleotide ribosomal RNA is filed under the name uncultured bacterium. RNAcentral's name for it is "bacterial SSU rRNA". It matches the Rfam family "Bacterial small subunit ribosomal RNA", at positions 333 to 635 of the family's 1533-position model. The record is from RNAcentral.